RNAcentral lists this ribosomal RNA (424 nucleotides) under uncultured bacterium. Its description in RNAcentral is "bacterial SSU rRNA". It matches the Rfam family "Bacterial small subunit ribosomal RNA", at positions 355 to 776 of the family's 1533-position model. The record is from RNAcentral.
UGAGGAAUAUUGGUCAAUGGGCGCGAGCCUGAACCAGCCAAGUAGCGUGAAGGAUGACUGCCCUACGGGUUGUAAACUUCUUUUAUAAAGGAAUAAAGUGAGGCACGUGUGCCUUUUUGUAUGUACUUUAUGAAUAAGGAUCGGCUAACUCCUUGCCAGCAGCCGCGGUAAUACGGAGGAUCCGAGCGUUAUCCGGAUUUAUUGGGUUUAAAGGGAGCGUAGAUGGAUGUUUAAGUCAGUUGUGAAAGUUUGCGGCUCAACCGUAAAAUUGCAGUUGAUACUGGACAUCUUGAGUGCAGUUGAGGCAGGCGGAAUUCGUGGUGUAGCGGUGAAAUGCUUAGAUAUCACGAAGAACUCCGAUUGCGAAGGCAGCCUGCUAAGCUGCAACUGACAUUGAGGCUCGAAAGUGUGGGUAUCAAACAGG